CGCGCCGACCCGCCUAAUCGUGCACACACGAACCGGGGACCCACAGCAACACCGGGGUGAAUCCGCGAGCCACGGCCCGCGGUAGGGCGUACUUCCCGCCCGAAUCCGUCAGCUAACCCGGUCGGCGGCCACGGAAGGAGUU
This 142-nucleotide small RNA is filed under the name Micromonospora humi. RNAcentral's name for it is "c-di-AMP sequence". It matches the Rfam family "c-di-AMP riboswitch aptamer (ydaO/yuaA leader)". From Rfam's summary of the family: This family represents a conserved RNA structure found upstream of the ydaO and yuaA genes in Bacillus subtilis and related genes in other bacteria. The ydaO/yuaA element is thought to act as a genetic "off" switch for the ydaO and yuaA genes in its native state. The record is from RNAcentral. Lineage: Bacteria; Bacillati; Actinomycetota; Actinomycetes; Micromonosporales; Micromonosporaceae.